Molecule: long non-coding RNA, 592 nt
Organism: Amphiprion ocellaris (clown anemonefish)
Lineage: Eukaryota; Metazoa; Chordata; Actinopteri; Pomacentridae
Source: Ensembl
CAGAUGUUGAGAUAAUAUCAACAGGAAUCAGUGCUCAUUUGGUUAACUUCUAUUUGUGAUGUGUCCAAAGGCUGCUGAGUGCCCUCUCCUGCUCCGUCAGGCUCACACAAGGGUUGAUCAAGUGUAGGCUGGAAGGCGUGACGCUGGAGGACUUUGGCAGCGAGUGCUUCUGUGUGUCAGCAGCAGGUGUGCCAGCCAGUCAGCUGAGAGGGAGGAAAACAAGAUCUGAGGCCGGCAACGCGUCAGAACUGGGACAAAGACGAGAGAGAAAACAAGGGAGAGCCCCGCUGAAUGACAGAGAUAGGAACCAAUGCAGAAAAGUGGCGCCGAGUGCGGAAGAUGUUGCUUUGAAGCUCGUUCCAGGUGUUUGUGGAUUGCAAAUAUGGCAAAGUAAGAUAGCAGGCAGAGGCAGGAUGAGGCCAGACGUAGGUAAUGACAGGUGUAUUACAGCCAGGUAACUCUGAUUCAGCCUCCCUUUGAUAUCCUGAUCAUCCAGCUGAGUCAUGUAUGAAUGAAAAAAAUCACUUUAUUAUUCAGAUUGUUGUGUCUGAUUCUCUUUCUUCAUCAAAUUAAACUGGAUGUUCUCCUAAAG